This 449-nucleotide ribosomal RNA is filed under the name uncultured bacterium. RNAcentral's name for it is "partial 16S ribosomal RNA". It matches the Rfam family "Bacterial small subunit ribosomal RNA", at positions 29 to 523 of the family's 1533-position model. The record is from RNAcentral.
AGCGAACGCUGGCGGCAGGCUUAACACAUGCAAGUCGAACGGGCACUUCGGUGUCAGUGGCAGACGGGUGAGUAACACGUGGGAACGUACCUUUUGGUUCGGCACAACUGAGGGAAACUUCAGCUAAUACCGGAUAAGCCCUUACGGGGAAAGAUUUAUCGCCGAAAGAUCGACCCGCGUCUGAUUAGCUAGUUGGUAGGGUAAUGGCCUACCAAGGCGACGAUCAGUAGCUGGUCUGAGAGGAUGAUCAGCCACAUUGGGACUGAGACACGGCCCAAACUCCUACGGGAGGCAGCAGUGGAGAAUAUUGGACAAUGGGGGCAACCCUGAUCCAGCCAUGCCGCGUGAGUGAUGAAGGCCCUAGGGUUGUAAAGCUCUUUUGUGCGGGAAGAUAAUGACGGUACCGCAAGAAUAAGCCCCGGCUAACUUCGUGCCAGCCGCCGCGGUAA